GAUGAACGCUGGCGGCGUGCCUAAUACAUGCAAGUCGAGCGAGAAGCUUGGGAAUGACGCUUCGGUUGAUUUUCCAAGCGGACAGCGGCGGACGGGUGAGUAACGCGUAGGCAACCUGCCCCUGACAGAGGGAUAGCCAUUGGAAACGAUGAUUAAAACCUCAUGACACCGUAGUAGCACAUGCUACAUCGGUCAAAGAUUUAUCGGUCAGGGAUGGGCCUGCGUCUGAUUAACUGGUUGGUGAGGUAACGGCUCACCAAGGUGACGAUCAGUAGCCGACCUGAGAGGGUGAUCGGCCACAUUGGAACUGAGACACGGUCCAAACUCUACGGAGGCAGCAGUAGGGAAUCUUGCACAAUGGGCGAAAGCCUGAUGCAGCAACGCCGCGUGAAGGAUGAAGGCCUUACGGGUUGUAAACUUCUGUUCUAAGGGAAGAAAGAAAUGACGGUACCUUAGGAGCA
This 461-nucleotide ribosomal RNA is filed under the name Mogibacterium timidum. RNAcentral describes it as "bacterial SSU rRNA". It matches the Rfam family "Bacterial small subunit ribosomal RNA", at positions 28 to 488 of the family's 1533-position model. The record is from RNAcentral. Lineage: Bacteria; Bacillati; Bacillota; Clostridia; Peptostreptococcales; Anaerovoracaceae.